Molecule: ribosomal RNA, 474 nt
Filed under: uncultured bacterium
Lineage: Bacteria
Description: SSU rRNA
Rfam family: Bacterial small subunit ribosomal RNA
Source: RNAcentral
AGGAUGAACGCUGGCGGCGUGCCUAACACAUGCAAGUCGAACGUCCUGUCUCGCAAGAGGCAGGGAGUGGCGGACGGGUGAGUACCACGUGGGUCAUCUACCGUGAGGUGAGGAAUACCGGCGAGAAAUCGCCGACAAGACCGCAUAGGCUCGAUGCAAGUCGAGCAAAGCUCUUUCGAGAGAGGGAGCGCCACACGAGGAGCCUGCGCCCGAUUAGCUAGCUGGUGGAGUAACGGUUCACCAGGGCGACGAUCGGUAGCUGGUCUGAGAGGACGAUCAGCCACACUGGGAUUGAGAACGGCCCAGACUCCUACGGGGGGCAGCAGUGAGGAAUUUCGUCAAUGGGGGCAACCCUGAACGAGCAACGCCGCGUGCAGGAGAAGGUUUUCGGAUCGUAAACUGCUUUUCUCGGGGAAGAGAACGGACGGUACCCGAGGAAUCAGCCCCGGCUAACUACGUGCCAGCAGCCGCGGU